CCUACGGGGGGCUGCAGUGAGGAAUAUUGGUCAAUGGGCGCGAGCCUGAACCAGCCAAGUAGCGUGAAGGAUGACUGUCCUACGGGUUGUAAACCUCUUUUAUCAAGGAAUAAAGUGAGGCACGCGUGCCUUUUUGUAUGUACUUUAUGAAAAAGCAUCGGCUAACUCCGUGCCAGCAGCCGCGGUAAUACGGAGGAUCCGAGCGUUAUCCGGAUUUAUUGGGUUUAAAGGGUGCGCAGGUGGGUUGUUAAGUCAGUUGUGAAAGUUUGCGGCUCAACCGUAAAAUUGCAAUUGAUACUGGCAUCCUUGAGUACAGUUGAAGUAUGCGGAAUGCGUGGUGUAGCGGUGAAAUGCAUAGAUAUCACGAAGAACUCCGAUUGCGAAGGCAGCAUACUAAA
This 398-nucleotide ribosomal RNA is filed under the name uncultured bacterium. Its description in RNAcentral is "partial 16S ribosomal RNA". It matches the Rfam family "Bacterial small subunit ribosomal RNA", at positions 338 to 733 of the family's 1533-position model. The record is from RNAcentral.